UACGUAGGGUGCGAGCGUUGUCCGGAAUUACUGGGCGUAAAGAGCUCGUAGGUGGUUUGUCGCGUUGUCCGUGAAAACUCACAACUCAAUUGUGGGCGUGCGGGCGAUACGGGCAGACUGGAGUACUGCAGGGGAGACUGGAAUUCCUGGUGUAGCGGUGGAAUGCGCAGAUAUCAGGAGGAACACCUGUGGCGAAGGCGGGUCUCUGGGCAACAACUGACGCUGAGGAGCGAAAGCGUGGGGAGCGAACAGG
RNAcentral lists this ribosomal RNA (253 nucleotides) under uncultured bacterium. RNAcentral describes it as "partial 16S ribosomal RNA". It matches the Rfam family "Bacterial small subunit ribosomal RNA", at positions 524 to 776 of the family's 1533-position model. The record is from RNAcentral.